Long non-coding RNA from Salvelinus sp. IW2-2015, 306 nucleotides. RefSeq lists it as uncharacterized. The record is from RefSeq and is a predicted model, not a curated record. Lineage: Eukaryota; Metazoa; Chordata; Actinopteri; Salmoniformes; Salmonidae.
ACUAAACAGUUAGUGUAUUAUACUAUUGUAGUAAAAUAACUAAGAGGUUCCACUAUAAUUAUAUUGUUUUGAAUCCAUUACCUUUGUUAAUUUAUGAAGGGUCUGAAUGCAGUAAACCACUCCACCCCACCAACCAAUGAGGACAAGAGUCAACCUGCUGACAGAAUCACCUAUGCCUCMAUUGACCACUUCAAUCAAAAUCCUCCUCAGAGAGUUGAUGAGCAUAACAAGAACACAUACCUGAGAAUGUGGAGGUGAAGUCYGUGGAGAUCUUCACGUUUCCCUUUUCAGUCAGCGUGCACGUCC